AUACGGAGGAUCCGAGCGUUAUCCGGAUUUAUUGGGUUUAAAGGGUGCGCAGGCGGCCAUUUAAGUCAGCGGUUAAAUCGUGGGGCUCAACCCCAUUCUGCCGUUGAUACUGGGUGGCUUGAUUGCGGUCGAGGUUGGCGGAAUUCGUUGUGUAGCGGUGAAAUGCAUAGAUAUGACGAAGAACACCGAUUGCGUAGGCAGCUGACCAGACCGCAAAUGACGCUCAGGCACGAAAGUGCGGGGAUCGAACAGGAUUAGAUACCCUGGUAGUCCGCACAGUAAACGAUGAAUACUUGUUUUCGGCGAUAUAAUGUCGGAGGCAAAGCGAAAGCGAUAAGUAUUCCACCUGGGGAGUACGCCGGCAACGGUGAAACUCAAAUGAAUUGACGGGG
Molecule: ribosomal RNA, 392 nt
Filed under: uncultured bacterium
Lineage: Bacteria
Description: partial 16S ribosomal RNA
Rfam family: Bacterial small subunit ribosomal RNA
Source: RNAcentral